AUCCCAUGAUGAGGACAGGCACGAAUGUGCUCCAAGAGACGUUCCCAUGCUUCAGGAAUUGUCUCAAUAGCUUGCUGUUGGAAGCUAGAAAUCUUUCCACGAAGGGC
Sorghum bicolor (sorghum) is the source of this 107-nucleotide small nucleolar RNA. It matches the Rfam family "Plant small nucleolar RNA R71". Rfam says of the family: R71 is a member of the C/D box family of snoRNAs containing the C (UGAUGA) and D (CUGA) box motifs. The record is from Rfam. Lineage: Eukaryota; Viridiplantae; Streptophyta; Magnoliopsida; Poales; Poaceae.